CAACGCGAAGAACCUUACCAGGUCUUGACAUCCCGAUGCUAUUUCUAGAGAUAGAAAGUUACUUCGGUACAUCGGUGACAGGUGGUGCAUGGCUGUCGUCAGCUCGUGUCGUGAGAUGUUGGGUUAAGUCCCGCAACGAGCGCAACCCUUGUCAUUAGUUGCCAUCGAUUGGUUGGGCACUCUAAUGAGACUGCCGGUGACAAACCGGAGGAAGUGGGGAUGACGUCAAGUCCUCAUGGCCCUUAUAGGUGGGGCUACACACGUCAUACAAUGGCCGGUACAGAGGGUAGCCAACCCGCGAGGGGGAGCCAAUCCCACAAAGCCGGUCGUAGUCCGGAUCGCAGUCUGCAACUCGACUGCGUGAAGUCGGAAUCGCUAGUAAUCGCGGAUCAGCAUGUCGCGGUGAAUACGUUCCCGGGUCUU
RNAcentral lists this ribosomal RNA (423 nucleotides) under uncultured Verminephrobacter sp. RNAcentral's name for it is "bacterial SSU rRNA". It matches the Rfam family "Bacterial small subunit ribosomal RNA", at positions 957 to 1382 of the family's 1533-position model. The record is from RNAcentral. Lineage: Bacteria; Pseudomonadati; Pseudomonadota; Betaproteobacteria; Burkholderiales; Comamonadaceae.